RNAcentral lists this small RNA (176 nucleotides) under human gammaherpesvirus 4 (Epstein-Barr virus). RNAcentral describes it as "Human gammaherpesvirus 4 (Epstein-Barr virus) EBER-2". It matches the Rfam family "Epstein-Barr virus EBER2". From Rfam's summary of the family: Contributes to oncogenesis by promoting growth of tumor cells and by inducing apoptosis resistance. Known interactions include paired PAX5 and cellular protein La. The record is from RNAcentral. Lineage: Duplodnaviria; Heunggongvirae; Peploviricota; Herviviricetes; Herpesvirales; Orthoherpesviridae.
AGGACAGCCGUUGCCCUAGUGGUUUCGGACACACCGCCAACGCUCAGUGCGGUGCUACCGACCCGAGGUCAAGUCCCGGGGGAGGAGAAGAGAGGCUUCCCGCCUAGAGCAUUUGCAAGUCAGGAUUCUCUAAUCCCUCUGGGAGAAGGGUAUUCGGCUUGUCCGCUGUUUUUUUU